AACAACUUUAUUCAACAUAAACUAUAUCCAGGAAGGCUUCUAGCUGAUUUCAAAAAUGAGCCCCUUCCUCCUCCACCCAGGGGAGGCCCAACUGCACCAGGCCAUUCCACUGCUUCAGGACGCAACUGUGCAGGGAGUCCCCACGCCACCGCCACGUGGACGCAGUAGCCGUGGGGAAGUUUUCGCAAUGGCCGCCGGAACGGUCGCCGGCCGAUGCUCUCUGCGACGGAAAGAAAGCCGCCGGACCCACUUCCGGUGCGUUUUACAAUGAACUCCGGGCACUCGAGUCGCUCCCCGGAAACUAUAGUUCUGCUUCCACCGUUGUCCUACUUUGGAUAGCAUCAAGACAAAAAUCUCAGUCUUCGAGGAACUCACAGUGUAGCAGAAAAGACAAAGGAGGUAAACAGGAGGAGCAUGAAUAAUUCAUCUUGAUGUAAUCAUGCAAGACUCCUAAGAAGAUGUUAGGAGACCCUGUCAUCAUUCUUUUGGCCUCUAGUGUCCUUUAUCUUCAUGUUUGCUGGCUUCCUUUUACUACUAUGGAAAUACAACAUAUGCAAAAGUAGUGUUUUCACUGUUUAAAAACAUCGUCAGCAGCAUCAUCAUCAUUAACUGCACCAGGAAGCCAUGACUCCUUUCUGGACAAGGUGCACUUGCCUGUCAUCCUUCCAUCUCUUUCUUCCUCCUUGAAGUUCACAAUACCCAGUCCAGGAGCAUUGCAGAGAAUGCUAGGUGUGUCUGCAGACUUGACUUUAAAAGAAAACAAGUUCCUUCAAGUGAGUUCAUCAUGAUGGGAAUGAUAAUUUGUUUGAGAGAAUGUGUGUUCUUUGGCAAAGGAACUCCUGUUAUACCAUGACAGUAAUAAUAGCAGUAAUAAAAUCACCAAUAAUAAAUUUACUUUUGAAUUUA
This 906-nucleotide long non-coding RNA is filed under the name Homo sapiens (human). RNAcentral's name for it is "HSALNT0314689". Lineage: Eukaryota; Metazoa; Chordata; Mammalia; Primates; Hominidae. The record is from RNAcentral.